UUUUAUGAAAUGCUUCGGUAAACAAUGUUUUAUCAUGUUUUGUUUUUGGGAACAAAUUCCGCAACUCUUUCAAAUCAAAAGGAUUUACUCUGAAAAUAUUUAAAAGCAUAAAUGAAAAUCGGUCUUUUCUGGCCGAGAUUUUGGGGAUGUCACAAAAUCACAACUAAUCAAACCGAUCUUAGCAGAUCACAUACAUAGCACAUCCCUACCAGGAUUCCGACCUAACCGGUCACUAGCAUAGCAUCAUCCUAUAAACCAGGCUACCGACCCUACCAGGUCUCUAAGAUAUACCAUCCUAACUACCAGGAUGCAAACAUAACAAAGCAAUAACAUAAAAAACAACUACCCAGAUUUCCAUCCGAUAAAGGGCCGACCUUGGUGCCUUAGACCCUGUCGAUAAAGUGAGGAUAACUCACCUCGCAACUGCUGACUGAAAAGAUAAGAUCACGCUUCUCCAACCUUCGACAUGAACUCCACCACUGCUAAUACCACAAGACUGAACUUAGUAAAUACCAAUAGUUACCAAAAUACCCCUGGAAUUUAACUGGUCAACUCUUGGUCAAAGUCAAAGUCCUCAGUCAAAGUCAACCUUCCUGACUGACUCUACUCGCCGAGUCAACCCGCUGACUCGUCGAGUCUCUAUCCUCAAAAACUCCCAAUCUAUGACUCAACUCGCCGAGUCGCACCAAGACUCGCCGAGUCCAACCAACUCUGAGUUACUUCCUACUCAACUCACCGAGUUGUCCCUCGACUCACCGAUUCACCGCUCAACCAAAAAGGUUAGGACCUUACGACUAGACUCGCCGAGUUGUUCUUCCAACUCGUCGAGUCCAUGCACAUAUUCAUACAACUCGCCGAGUGAACCCAUGUGACUCGCCGAGUCCAGACGUGACAUCUUCAUCCAGACGAUUUCAGGCCAUUCCAAUGCUUCCAAUACAUAGAUCUGGAAUCCUAGGGCCAAAUUCACAUGUAAAGUUUCCAACUUUACGUGCAUGCAAGGUUCAACAAGCUUUAAACAAGCUAAAAUGAAGGUUUAAGGCAAGGACACUCUCAAACAAGACCCAAAGUUAUCACUUUCCGAAUUCAUGGGUCACGACCAGUCUAGAUGACUAGAUCUGUAGUAGCAACCACAGAUCUGAACCCAAAACUCGAAAAGAGACUCAUAUAUGACGAUUUGGCCUUAAAACUUCAUUCAUGAACAAUCUAAGCACAACCAAGCCAAGGCAAUAGCUUUUUACCUUUAAUCUGAUGCUAACAAGCAAGGAAAUCAGAUCCACUUCGCUCCUCUAUGAUCCCACCAACUCUUGCUUCAAGUAUCCUUCUUCUCCAAGCUCCACAAAACACUUAAAUCCCUCUCACUCUCAAAUUAGGGUUUGGAAACGAUGGGGAAAACUUCUGGACAUCAAAGGGGUGCUAAAGAGGCUGGGGUGGGGCUUAAGGUUCCUUAUAUAGGGUGCAAACCCCAGGAAUUAGGGUUUCUCAUUCCAACACGGAAUCGUCGAGUCCAGCCUCUGACUCGGCGAGUCCAGUCACUUAACAUAUACCCGACACCCGCUUAGAC
RNAcentral lists this long non-coding RNA (1561 nucleotides) under Lactuca sativa (garden lettuce). RNAcentral's name for it is "long non-coding RNA (LSAT_LNC007619)". Lineage: Eukaryota; Viridiplantae; Streptophyta; Magnoliopsida; Asterales; Asteraceae. The record is from RNAcentral.